CCUACGGGAGGCAGCAGUGAGGAAUAUUGGUCAAUGGGCGCGAGCCUGAACCAGCCAAGUAGCGUGAAGGAUGACUGCCCUACGGGUUGUAAACUUCUUUUAUCAAGGGAUAAAGUGAGUCUCGUGUGCCUUUUUGUAUGUACUUUGUGAAUAAGGAUCGGCUAACUCCGUGCCAGCAGCCGCGGUAAUACGGAGGGUCCGAGCGUUAGCCGGAUUUAUUGGGUUUAAAGGGAGCGUAGAUGGGUUGUUGUGUCAGUUGUGAAAGUUUGCGGCUCAACCGUGAAAUUGCAAUGGAUACUGGCAGGCUUGAGUACAGUAGAGGUAGGCGGAAUUCGUGGUGUAGCGGUGAAAUGCUUAGAUAUCACGAAGAACUCCGAUUGCGAAGGCAGCUUACUAAACUGCCACUGACAUUGAUGCGCGAAAGUGUGGGUAUCAAACAGGAUUAGAUACCCGUGUAGUC
Molecule: ribosomal RNA, 460 nt
Filed under: uncultured bacterium
Lineage: Bacteria
Description: partial 16S ribosomal RNA
Rfam family: Bacterial small subunit ribosomal RNA
Source: RNAcentral